RNAcentral lists this unclassified non-coding RNA (355 nucleotides) under soil metagenome. RNAcentral describes it as "partial contains 5.8S ribosomal RNA, internal transcribed spacer 2, and large subunit ribosomal RNA". The stretch from base 1 to 120 matches the Rfam family "5.8S ribosomal RNA", at positions 35 to 154 of the family's 154-position model. The record is from RNAcentral.
GAUGAAGAACGCAGCGAAAUGCGAUAAGUAAUGUGAAUUGCAGAAUUCAGUGAAUCAUCGAAUCUUUGAACGCACAUUGCGCCCGCCAGUAUUCUGGCGGGCAUGCCUGUCCGAGCGUCAUUUCAACCCUCGAACCCCUCCGGGGGGUCGGCGUUGGGGAUCGGCCCUGCCUCUUGGCGGUGGCCGUCUCCGAAAUACAGUGGCGGUCUCGCCGCAGCCUCUCCUGCGCAGUAGUUUGCACACUCGCAUCGGGAGCGCGGCGCGUCCACAGCCGUUAAACACCCAACUUCUGAAAUGUUGACCUCGGAUCAGGUAGGAAUACCCGCUGAACUUAAGCAUAUCAAUAAGCGGAGGA